RNAcentral lists this ribosomal RNA (439 nucleotides) under uncultured bacterium. RNAcentral's name for it is "bacterial SSU rRNA". It matches the Rfam family "Bacterial small subunit ribosomal RNA", at positions 958 to 1397 of the family's 1533-position model. The record is from RNAcentral.
AACGCGAAGAACCUUACCUGGGCUCGAACGGCUUAAGACCGUCGUGGAAACACGAUCUUCCCGCAAGGGACUUGAGUCGAGGUGCUGCAUGGCUGUCGUCAGCUCGUGUCGUGAGAUGUUGGGUUAAGUCCCGCAACGAGCGCAACCCUUGUCCUGUGUUGCCAUCAUUAAGUUGGGCACUCGCAGGAGACCGCCAGCGAUAAGUUGGAGGAAGGUGGGGAUGAUGUCAAGUCAUCAUGGCCUUUAUGUCCAGGGCUACACACGUGCUACAAUGGACGGUACAAACCGCUGCAAACCCGCGAGGGGGAGCUAAUCGGAGAAAACCGUUCUCAGUUCGGAUUGCAGGCUGCAACUCGCCUGCAUGAAGCUGGAAUCGCUAGUAAUGCCGUAUCAGAACGACGGCGUGAAUACGUUCCCGGGCCUUGUACACACCGAUAGC